Molecule: transfer RNA, 71 nt
Filed under: Flavobacteriales bacterium
Lineage: Bacteria; Pseudomonadati; Bacteroidota; Flavobacteriia; Flavobacteriales
Description: tRNA-Pro
Rfam family: tRNA
About the family: Transfer RNA (tRNA) molecules are approximately 80 nucleotides in length. Their secondary structure includes four short double-helical elements and three loops (D, anti-codon, and T loops).
Source: RNAcentral
GGCUCUUUGGUGUAGUGGCAGCAUAGUCGCUUUGGGUGCGACUGACCCGGAUUCGAUUUCCGGAAGAGCCC